GAGCUCAGUGGCAGAACAUCUGCUUUGCAUGCAGAAGGUCUUGGGUUCAAUCCAUGGGACAUCCA
Podarcis lilfordi (Lilford's wall lizard) is the source of this 65-nucleotide non-coding RNA. The record is from the annotation of a GenBank genome assembly. Lineage: Eukaryota; Metazoa; Chordata; Lepidosauria; Squamata; Lacertidae.